This 768-nucleotide ribosomal RNA is filed under the name Flavobacterium sp. 20AGV. RNAcentral describes it as "bacterial SSU rRNA". It matches the Rfam family "Bacterial small subunit ribosomal RNA", at positions 60 to 830 of the family's 1533-position model. Lineage: Bacteria; Pseudomonadati; Bacteroidota; Flavobacteriia; Flavobacteriales; Flavobacteriaceae. The record is from RNAcentral.
AGUCGAGGGGUAUAGUUCUUCGGAAUUAGAGACCGGCGCACGGGUGCGUAACGCGUAUGCAAUCUACCUUUUACAGAGGGAUAGCCCAGAGAAAUUUGGAUUAAUACCUCAUAGUAUAGCAGUUUCGCAUGAAACCACUAUUAAAGUCACAACGGUAAAAGAUGAGCAUGCGUCCCAUUAGCUAGUUGGUAAGGUAACGGCUUACCAAGGCUACGAUGGGUAGGGGUCCUGAGAGGGAGAUCCCCCACACUGGUACUGAGACACGGACCAGACUCCUACGGGAGGCAGCAGUGAGGAAUAUUGGACAAUGGGCGCAAGCCUGAUCAGCCAUGCCGCGUGCAGGAUGACGGUCCUAUGGAUUGUAAACUGCUUUUAUACAGGAAGAAACCCUGGUUCGUGAACCAGCUUGACGGUACUGUAAGAAUAAGGAUCGGCUAACUCCGUGCCAGCAGCCGCGGUAAUACGGAGGAUCCAAGCGUUAUCCGGAAUCAUUGGGUUUAAAGGGUCCGUAGGCGGUUUAAUAAGUCAGUGGUGAAAGCCCAUCGCUCAACGGUGGAACGGCCAUUGAUACUGUUAAACUUGAAUUAUUAGGAAGUAACUAGAAUAUGUAGUGUAGCGGUGAAAUGCUUAGAGAUUACAUGGAAUACCAAUUGCGAAGGCAGGUUACUACUAAUGGAUUGACGCUGAUGGACGAAAGCGUGGGUAGCGAACAGGAUUAGAUACCCUGGUAGUCCACGCCGUACACGAUGGAUACUAGCUGUUGGGGGU